Lepisosteus oculatus (spotted gar) is the source of this 1728-nucleotide long non-coding RNA. The record is from Ensembl. Lineage: Eukaryota; Metazoa; Chordata; Actinopteri; Semionotiformes; Lepisosteidae.
CAGUGGUCAGCCACAGCCCAGGCACUCUGAAUUCAGACUAGCAGGAGGGAAUGAGAGGGUGUUCAUUUUGGUCAGGCCUGAAGAUUCUGAAGGCUGAAUGAAGGGGUGUAAUUUGAUAGAAGAGUGCUGCGGUUAAAUUUUUAUUAUCCUGGACCUAUCCCGGUUAUUGCCAAUGUUUGUUGUGUCAAGAACUCUCCAUACUAACAUACUGAAAUUAAUAAAAUGAGAAUAAUCAACCAGUGUCACCAAGGCCUGCAGGAUAAGCUAGCACAAUCCUUCCCUGAGAAACAGAGAAUCAAGCUGCAGGGUCCUCUUUAAGCCACAAUAUGCCUUUUUCAACCCCUCGGAUUUGAGGAAAACCCUGGAAUAAUCUGCUCAGUCAUGUCAUUGAGGCUUAUACAUGAGCUUCUUUCAUGACACAGCUGGGUGAGAUCCUCAGAUCACUUGCUAUAAAUGCUAACUGAAUGGCCUCCUCUCAUUUGUAGGCUUUUUUGUGUUUCUGAGUUUAUUCCAAGCAACUGUGUGGCAGUGUUAGAUUAGGCCUUCAGUCCUAUCCCAAAGUCAAGCAGGUACGUGUUGACUGGCUACUCUUAAAAUUGUCCCUUUCCAGGACUGGUUUCAAGUGAGCUUUCAUCCCUGGAGGAGGAGGGAUUUUUCCCAGUUGAACCCACUCCAGAGACAACAACAGGUUCACAGAAAAAUAUAGCCAGAUGCGGACGAUGGAUCGAAUGGCUGUUCUGCAUCUGUGGCCUUUUUAAUCGCUGUUGUUUCUCUUUCCUUGGACGUCAGGGGUAACGCUUGCUGCUGGAACACAGCAGGAGGCCUGCAGGCUGAGCCGUGCUCCGAAAUGCAGAGAUAUUUCCCUAUUAAUCCAAAACCACAGCUGGGUUUGUCUCUCUCAGUGACGCAAAAGACAGCUGUCUCAAGAGACAGAGAAGGGAACAAAUGCUGCUGCCCCACUGCCCCACUGCCUCAGCAAACAACCCUUUGCAUUUUCAAUGCAAAUGGAAUUCUGAGUUCCAGAUCCAGCAUGCUGAGCAAUAAGCUCACAAAAGCUCAAGCAGUGCUGUACAGCCUGCAGCAAAGCUUCAUGACAAGGAGAUGCAAUACGCAGUCAUGGGGCAAGUGGAGCAGUGUGGCCUGGGCCUAAAUAAUUCAGUGCUCCAGUUUGUCGUGGGGCGUUUUCAUGGGAUUGUGGACGAGUACGAAAAGAGGUCUCCACAUCAAACUCUUUUACUGGGAGUAAGGUGAGUGACUCUCUCCUAGACUGCCAGCAAUAGACAUACAGAUGUGCACCCACAGGCACACACACCAACCUCCUAUCACACACCAACUAUCUGCUCUCUUUCCAUGCUGCGUGAUGUGUCUUCAUCUUGCGAAGAGACUUGCUUUCAUUCCUGACAGAGGGGCUGUGAUCCCAGCACUCUCCCGGGUGGGACGCUGGGGAGACGGAUGUGUGCGGGACUGUGCUUGUGAGGCUAAUUGGCCCAGAGCGCUCGCUAAUUCUGCUGAGCUUAUUAGACAGUGAAAUCUACACUGGAAACAGGAGGCGAAUCUCUGUAAUUAGAACAUGAUGCUACACAGGGUGUCGGUCGCAGGAGGGUUAUUAAUACAGGAGGAAAUGAUCUGCGAAGGUCAAAGGUCUGGGAGAAGGAAGGGGCUGAUGCCCCAGGGGCAUGGCUCUCACAUGGACUAAGCAGGGGGCCUCCUUUCUCAGCACAGCGGGUG